CAUGCUUAAACCUUUAAAGUACUUACUUGUAUUCAGGUCUUCAAAGUUGUUGUUUGGCUUUAUAGUAAACAGGAUAAAACUGUCUGGAGAAAUGUGAACAUUUAGAGAAGGAGAUAUGCGUGUAUAUGCUUUAAUGAAGGUGGCAACUUUAUUCUUUGAAGUAUCCAGAGAAUUAUGAAAGAAGACUUAGAUAAUCACAAGGCAACUUCUCCAGAAAUGAGUGCUCAUCAGUGAAAACCAUAGUGUACCUCUGUGUAUGGUUCCUUGAUCCUGGUGGGAGAAACUGCGAUUCAUUAUGACUGUGUAAACACUGGUGCAGAGGAAGGAGACUUGAUCUAGGGAUUGGAGUUGUCAAAUGUUCCAGUGACCUUCUGUGUGACCUUCAGCAAGUUGUUUUUACUCUCUGAACCUCUGUUUCCUUAUCUACGAUUUUUCUGUAAUUCAGUGAUUUAUAUACAUUGCCUGGAAGAGGGACCGGCACAUGAGAGAUUCGUCAAGAGUUAGAUAUGAGUCAGGCGCAGUGGCUCACGCCUGUAAUCCCAGCACUUUGGGAGGCCGAGGCGGGCAGAUCACGAGGUCAAGAGAUUGAGACAAUCCUGGCCAACAUGGUGAAACCCUGUCUCUACUAAAAAUACAAAAAUUAGCUGGGUGUGGUGGCGCGUGGCUGUAGUCCCAUCUACUCGGGAGGCUGAGGUGGGAGAAUCACUUGAACCCAGGAAGCGGAGGUUGCAGUGAGCCAAGAUGGUGCCUCCACACUGAAGCCUGGUGACAGAGCAAGACUCCGUCUCAACAACAACAAAAAGGAGUUAUAUAUGUUCUCAGGUUAACAGCUGAAUAAAUAACAAAGAAUGUCAUUGUGCCUAGCAGCUAAGACUGUGGGAAGACUGAGUCUCCCGUUCUAUGCCUCACCCUGCAGUAUAGGAAGAUGCCACCUGGGUCAGCUGGGUCAUCUUGGAUAAAGUGGUUACCCCUUAAAGACUAAUGUGCCACUUGCAUGGUUAAAAUCUUGGCUCAAGUGGCUUAUUGGAUUAUACAGCUUUCUCAUGACAGUCGCACGUCUCUGAAAUUCUCAUGAACUGCUGUUUGGAAAGACUACAGUUGCUGAAAAUAAACAGGAACCAAAAAAUGCAAGCUGUCCUCUGUUCCCGGGAAAACCUAACUGUGCAAACAGCUUCCUACCCAUGAGGGACAGUACAGAGCCAGGUAUAGGAUGACUCACUGGAUUUAUGAAUCUUCUGUCUGUUGAGUAAGCAAGCACUGAGGAUGUUUACGAUAUAUUUUAGUGUUCUUUGAAGGUGUUACACUAAAUGGGGAAAUGCCCUCACCCUUAAUGGCCUUAAUAAUGCUACCAUAAUAUCCUGACUACAUUCUCAUAAGCAAUCUUUUCUUUCUUUUUUUGUUUUUGAAGUCAUCCAGGCUGGAGUGCCGUGGCGCGAUCUCGGCUCACUGCAACCUUCACCUCCCGGUGCAAGCAAUUCUUCAGCCUCAACCUCUCAGUAGCUGGAAUUACAGGCAUACACCACUAUGCCCUGCUAACUUUUGUAUUUUUAGUAGAGACAGGGUUUCACCAUGUUGGCCAGGCUGGUCUCGGACUCCUAGCCUCAAGUGAUCCACCUGCCUCAGCCUCCCAAAGUGUUGGGAUUACAGGCAUGGGCCAUCACUCCUGGCUGCCAUAAGGAACCUUUAUAUUAGUGAGUAAUAGCAGCCACACAGUAAGUUCAUGUUGAGUGUCUUGUCAAAUGCUGACUAGCACUAUGAAUAUAAAAACUGAUCACUUGAUUGUAUCCAGCAGUCCAUAACUUAUAGAAUAAAAUAAUUUACAGAGGCAUCUAAUUCAGGCCAAGCCUCUUGGCAAACUUAAUUCAUGCUAUGAAUAUUUAUUGAUUUAACAUUAUGACAGUCUCUGUGCUAGAACUCAGGUAGGCUGUCCAAGACAACUUAGAGCUCAUGGCUUAACUAUUCCAAGCACAUGAGUUUACUAACAAUUUCCAUUGCAUCCAGGAAGCCUUCUUUUCUUAUCUGAAUUCCCAUUAAUCUAUACCAUUCACUAGACCCUUGAAUUCCAGGCUGGGUUGGAAAAUCAUCCAGCCCAGUAUAUCACAAAGUGAGGAAUGUGCACUAUUAGUGGUGUGCAAGACAGUUUGGCAGUUUAAACUGGUAAACUUUAAAAAAAAUUUAUAAAUAAUUAAACACUAACCCUCACAGUGUGAUGACAAUUGUGAUGGAGGUGUGCCCAACAUGGAAGCCUGUUUUGCUUACUGCAUAAUGCUGAAGAUGCUAGUGAUGAGUUUUU
Molecule: long non-coding RNA, 2293 nt
Filed under: Homo sapiens (human)
Lineage: Eukaryota; Metazoa; Chordata; Mammalia; Primates; Hominidae
Description: HSALNT0354557
Source: RNAcentral